RNAcentral lists this ribosomal RNA (460 nucleotides) under uncultured bacterium. RNAcentral's name for it is "partial 16S ribosomal RNA". It matches the Rfam family "Bacterial small subunit ribosomal RNA", at positions 338 to 795 of the family's 1533-position model. The record is from RNAcentral.
CCUACGGGAGGCUGCAGUGAGGAAUAUUGGUCAAUGGACGAGAGUCUGAACCAGCCAAGUAGCGUGAAGGAUGACUGCCCUAUGGGUUGUAAACUUCUUUUAUAUGGGAAUAAACUGUUCCACGUGUGGGAUUUUGUAUGUACCAUAUGAAUAAGGAUCGGCUAACUCCGUGCCAGCAGCCGCGGUAAUACGGAGGAUCCGAGCGUUAUCCGGAUUUAUUGGGUUUAAAGGGAGCGUAGAUGGGUUGUUAAGUCAGUUGUGAAAGUUUGCGGCUCAACCGUAAAAUUGCAAUUGAUACUGGCAGCCUUGAGUACAGUGGAGGUAGGCGGAAUUCGUGGUGUAGCGGUGAAAUGCUUAGAUAUCACGAAGAACUCCGAUUGCGAAGGCAGCUUACUAAACUGCCACUGACAUUGAGGCUCGAAGGCGUGGGUAUCGAACAGGAUUAGAUACCCUUGUAGUC